This 305-nucleotide ribosomal RNA is filed under the name uncultured bacterium. RNAcentral's name for it is "bacterial SSU rRNA". It matches the Rfam family "Bacterial small subunit ribosomal RNA", at positions 337 to 640 of the family's 1533-position model. The record is from RNAcentral.
CCCUACGGGGGGCAGCAGUGAGGAAUAUUGGUCAAUGGACGAGAGUCUGAACCAGCCAAGUAGCGUGAAGGAUGACUGCCCUAUGGGUUGUAAACUUCUUUUAUAUGGGAAUAAAAUGUUCCACGUGUGGGAUUUUGUAUGUACCAUAUGAAUAAGGAUCGGCUAACUCCGUGCCAGCAGCCGCGGUAACACGGAGGAUGCGAGCGUUAUCCGGAUUUAUUGGGUUUAAAGGGUGCGUAGGCGGGCUGUUAAGUCAGCGGUCAAAUGUCGGGGCUCAACCCCGGCCUGCCGUUGAAACUGGCGGC